GAUGAACGCUGGCGGCGUGCCUAAUACAUGCAAGUCGAGCGAAUGGAUUAAGAGCUUGCUCUUAUGAAGUUAGCGGCGGACGGGUGAGUAACACGUGGGUAACCUGCCCAUAAGACUGGGAUAACUCCGGGAAACCGGGGCUAAUACCGGAUAACAUUUUGAACCGCAUGGUUCGAAGUUGAAAGGCGGCUUCGGCUGUCACUUAUGGAUGGACCCGCGUCGCAUUAGCUAGUUGGUGAGGUAACGGCUCACCAAGGCAACAAUGCGUAGCCGACCUGACAGGGUGAUCGGCCACACUGGGACUGAGACACGGCCCAGACUCGUACGGGAGGAAGCAGUAGGGAAUCUUCCGCAAUGGACGAAAGUCUGACGGAGCAACGCCGCGUGAGUGAUGAAGGCUUUCGGGUCGUAAAACUCUGUUGUUAGGGAAGAACAAGUGCUAGUUGAAUAAGCUGGCACCUUGACGGUACCUAACCAGAAAGCCACGGCUAACUACGUGCCAGCCGCCGCGGUAA
Molecule: ribosomal RNA, 515 nt
Filed under: uncultured bacterium
Lineage: Bacteria
Description: partial 16S ribosomal RNA
Rfam family: Bacterial small subunit ribosomal RNA
Source: RNAcentral